AACCUCUGCAAUAGGCGAAAGCUUGACAGGGUUACUCUGAGUGAUUUCCGUUAAGGAGAUCUUUUGGCACCUUGGUGCAGAAUAAGGGGUGGCAAGCUGGUGUCAGCCGCCGCGGUAAUACCAGCACCCCGAGUGGUCGGGACGUUUAUUGGGCCUAAAGCAUCCGUAGCCGGUUCUACAAGUCUUCCGUUAAAUCCACCUGCUUAACAGAUGGGCUGCGGAAGAUACUAUAGAGCUAGGAGGCGGGAGAGGCAAGCGGUACUCGAUGGGUAGGGUAAAAUCCGUUGAUCCAUUGAAGACACCAGUGGCGAAGGCGGCUUGCCAGAACGCCUCGACGGUGAGGGAUGAAAGCUGGGGGAGCAAACCGGAUUAGAUACCCGGGUAGUCCUAGCCGUAAACGAUGCGGACUGGGUGUUGGG
This 419-nucleotide ribosomal RNA is filed under the name uncultured archaeon. Its description in RNAcentral is "bacterial SSU rRNA". It matches the Rfam family "Archaeal small subunit ribosomal RNA", at positions 345 to 778 of the family's 1478-position model. The record is from RNAcentral.